CAGGCUGGCCUGUUCCCCCAGUGAGGGAUGUCUCCAAGCAUAAGGAGUCACUUUUUAAUAAGAAGCCCAUUUCGUUCAUUUACUAGCAACUGCUAUUAAAGACCGAUAAACAUGGCAUAAGGCAAGCCACUCCUUCCAGUAAGAUGACUCAGCAAGCCACGCCUUCCAGCAACAUGACUCAGCAAGCCACUCCUCCCAGCAAGAUGACUCAGCUUUGGCUGAAGACCAUAGCAAUGGAUGAACCAACUAUGGGCUUUACCUUCUAAAAUCGUGAGCCCAAAUAGAUGUUCUUUACUUUUCUUGAA
Molecule: long non-coding RNA, 305 nt
Organism: Mastomys coucha (southern multimammate mouse)
Lineage: Eukaryota; Metazoa; Chordata; Mammalia; Rodentia; Muridae
Exons: 2
Source: RefSeq, a predicted model, not a curated record